This 554-nucleotide long non-coding RNA is filed under the name Gallus gallus (chicken). The record is from RNAcentral. Lineage: Eukaryota; Metazoa; Chordata; Aves; Galliformes; Phasianidae.
GAGGAGGAGGAAGGAUUUCCUGCCCCAGACAUCAGAGAGAGCACCAAUCAGUGGGGCACUUAGAAAAGAAAGCAGACCCUUGACUCCAUGAAUCAGACCAUUCAUCAAGAACGUAUGCUGAGGAAAAGUCUGGUGUAAUACCGUCAGCAUUGGAGUGGUCAGUAAACCCCAGGCAAAGAACUCCAGGAAAAUCACCACCACUGCGUGGUACACGCUGGGCUCUCCAAUCCCCUGUCGGCCGGCCCCGUCCCGUAUGACGAUCUUUUUGGCCAGCAGGACGCUGCGGUUGAGCCGCUUCUUCUUCUUCUUCUCGCCGGUCAUGGCGCCGCCAGGCCGCUGCCGUUCCCCGGCCUCCGCGGCUGCCCCAUCCUCCCAGCGGCGGGCAGCGCCGAGCCCGGCCCGGACCCGCGCCCAACGGGUGGGGUCAGAGCGCGGGACCCGGAGCGGAGCGGCGCGGCGGGAGAGGGUGGCGGAUGGAGCGGGGGAAGGCGGGCGGCCCGGCCCGGAGGCCCCUCCCGCCGCACGGCCGCGCCCCCGUCGCCCGGACGAUGGCG